GUGGGCCGCAGGCCGCAGCAAGCUGUGCUGCCAGGCAGACAGAGCCAGGAUUUGGCUGUCCGUGGGAUCCAACUGCCACCACUGCCCCACCCAGCACAAGCCUCUGGGAGCCGCCGUGCACAGGCGGACAGAAUGGAAGGGAGACGGCCUCUGCCAGCCUUGCCACCUCUCCCACGGCGGGCGCAGUCACUGCCAGCUGCGCCCCGGAAUGCAGCCACUGCUCGGGGACGAGUUCACGCAUUCUCACUGCCAGCAAUAGCUUUCGGGAGUAUCCCAAGAGGCAGAGCUGCCCCUGGUCUUCAGUACCAGGACAUGGCAGCAAGGGUUGAGGGCUGGCAGGAAGAUCUGUCUGUCCGUGCAAUCCCCCUCAAGCCUGCAGAGAGGACACCCAAGUCCCUCAGGUUGGCAUACUGGGUGCGUCUGGGAGCCACACGACCAGGACCCUGGCUGAAGCGAACACGGCCUGGGCGAUGUGCACCCACCAGCACUGUAAGAACACCGGCACGAAGAACCCAGGUGCUGGCCCCCAAGGCUGGGAAAGUCACCUGAGAAUGAGACGCAACGUGCUGCCAGUGCUCAGGAGGACAGCGGAGAUGCUCACAGGGUCUCUACAUCACGCUCCCUGGCAGCAGAGCAGGCAGCAGAGAAGGAAGCAGAGCAGGCAGCAGAGCAGGCAGCAGUGCAGGCAGCAGAGAAGGAAGCAGAGCAGGCAGCAGAGCAGGCAGCAGACGAUGGUGCCAAAGGUGCUGGCACUUCUCAGGCCAUGCUGGAUGCCGAAGACAGCAAAGAGAGGGCCCGCUCUGCCAGGAGAGGGGACAGGUUCCUGCCCUGCUCUCUUUGCUGUUCCACCUACAGCGCUGUUGGCAAAGAUGAGCAGGAUGAGGGGAAAGACACCUCUGGGAGAGACGCUAUGUCAGUGGCAGGAAAGGAGCCUGUGAGCACAUCAUUUCCUGGGGCAGAGUCCCUGCCUCCAGCAUCUCCAGUGCCUGGAAACCUUCAGCAGGAGAUGAGCGAGACAGAGGUGGUAGGCAACGGGCAUGAAGAGGACAGCCUGGAGAUCAGGGACACAUUCACCCACAGCAGCACGCCAGGGGAGGGGAGACAGCCUCUGCCAACUUGUGGACCAUCCCUGUGUGUCCCUGCACCCCCUCUCAAGCCUGCACAUGCCACACGCAAAUCCUACAAUUUGACAUCCAUAAGGCGUCCCGUAGCCACCAGAAAAACCAGCAGGUCCAUGGCAGCGCGCACCCAACAGCAUUAAGGAAACACCAGCACAAGCAGCCCAGGUGCUGGCCCCCCAGGCUGGGAGCAGCCCCACACGUCGGAUACCACCAGCUCCCAGUGCUUAUCUUUCCUGUUUGUGUACACAUUGCUUCUCACCUAGCAUUUAGAUGACCAUCCCGUACAGGGAUUCCUAAUUUGGCUAAAUCUGGCUUUUCAAUCUGGAACUGAAGAAGCAGUAUAUGUAUUCUCUACAGCACAGAUAACAUACUUUGCUUCCUCUGUUCCUCUGAUUUCGGUUUCCAAAAGUACAAUAAAAUUAUUGAGUUCCAUUUUAAAUUUUCCA
RNAcentral lists this long non-coding RNA (1567 nucleotides) under Coturnix japonica (Japanese quail). RNAcentral describes it as "lncRNA (ENSCJPG00005003745.1)". Lineage: Eukaryota; Metazoa; Chordata; Aves; Galliformes; Phasianidae. The record is from RNAcentral.